GAUGAAGAACGUAGUGAAAUGCGAUAAGUAAUGUGAAUUGCAGAAUUCAGUGAAUCAUCGAAUCUUUGAACGCACAUUGCGCCCGGCAGUACUCUGCCGGGCAUGCCUGUUCGAGCGUCAUUUCAACCCUCAAGCCCUGCUUGGUGUUGGGGUCCCACGGCCGCCGUGGGCCCUGAAAGGAAGUGGCGGGCUCGCUACAACUCCGAGCGUAGUAAUUCAUUAUCUCGCUUAGGGCGUUGGGCGGCGCUCCUGCCGUUAAAGAACCAUCUUUAACUCAAGGUUGACCUCGGAUCAGGUAGGAAUACCCGCUGAACUUAAGCAUAUCAAUAGCGGAGGA
RNAcentral lists this unclassified non-coding RNA (337 nucleotides) under soil metagenome. RNAcentral's name for it is "partial contains 5.8S ribosomal RNA, internal transcribed spacer 2, and large subunit ribosomal RNA". The stretch from base 1 to 120 matches the Rfam family "5.8S ribosomal RNA", at positions 35 to 154 of the family's 154-position model. The record is from RNAcentral.